This 428-nucleotide long non-coding RNA is filed under the name Trifolium pratense (red clover). RNAcentral describes it as "long non-coding RNA (TPRA_LNC005642)". The record is from RNAcentral. Lineage: Eukaryota; Viridiplantae; Streptophyta; Magnoliopsida; Fabales; Fabaceae.
UCCUAAAUCAUAGUAAUCAAAAUAUCAACAAAUUAACAUAAACCCAGAAAUUGAAGACAAAAUCAGUUAACAGUUGAAGAAUCCACAUCCAAAUUGUGACAAACACGCAUACACAAAGAGAGAGAGAUGUAGAGAGAGAUAGAAAGAGCGAAAGAGGAAGAGAGAGAGUAGUGAAACCUACGAUGAAGAGUAUCUACGGCGGCGAUGAUAGGUAUGGGGCUGCGAGAGAUAGAAGUUUGAUUCUUUUUUGUUUUUGACUGAAACUGAAAUAAAAAGGGGAAAAUAUUUUAGGGAAAUAACAGAGGGAAUGAAAAUUUGGUUUCCCUCCUUUAAGAGUUUUUCUUUGUUUCAAAUUAUCCCUUUAUUAUUAUUACUAUUAUUAUUAUUAUUAUUAUUAUUAUUAUUAUUAUUAUUAUUAUUAUUAUUAU